RNAcentral lists this transfer RNA (71 nucleotides) under Acanthoscelides obtectus. It matches the Rfam family "tRNA". From Rfam's summary of the family: Transfer RNA (tRNA) molecules are approximately 80 nucleotides in length. Their secondary structure includes four short double-helical elements and three loops (D, anti-codon, and T loops). The record is from Rfam by way of RNAcentral. Lineage: Eukaryota; Metazoa; Arthropoda; Insecta; Coleoptera; Chrysomelidae.
GCCUCUGUAGCUCAGUGACAGAGCGCUGGUCUUGUAAACCAGGGGUGGUGAGUUCAAUCCUUAGAGGAGCA